GGGAAUAUUGCGCAAUGGAGGGAACUCUGACGCAGCGACGCUGCGUGAGCGAUGAAGGUCUUCGGAUCGUAAAGCUCUGUCCUUGGGGAAGAAGGUCUUCGGACUUGACGGUACCUAAGGAGGAAGCCCCUUCUAACUACGUUCCAGCAGCCGCGGUAAUACGUAGGGGGCAAGCGUUGUCCGGAAUUAUUGGGCGUAAAGGGUGCGUAGGCGGCCUUUUAAGUCAGAUGUGAAAGCCCACGGCUUAACCGUGGGACUGCAUUUGAAACUGGAGGGCUUGAGUAUCGGAGAGGGUAGUGGAAUUCCCAGUGUAGCGGUGGAAUGCGUAGAUAUUGGGAGGAACACCAGUGGCGAAGGCGACUACCUGGACGAAAACUGACGCUGAGGCACGAAAGCUAGGGGAGCAAACA
This 410-nucleotide ribosomal RNA is filed under the name uncultured bacterium. RNAcentral's name for it is "partial 16S ribosomal RNA". It matches the Rfam family "Bacterial small subunit ribosomal RNA", at positions 357 to 774 of the family's 1533-position model. The record is from RNAcentral.